RNAcentral lists this ribosomal RNA (1523 nucleotides) under Salmonella enterica subsp. enterica serovar Typhi. RNAcentral describes it as "bacterial SSU rRNA". It matches the Rfam family "Bacterial small subunit ribosomal RNA". The record is from RNAcentral. Lineage: Bacteria; Pseudomonadati; Pseudomonadota; Gammaproteobacteria; Enterobacterales; Enterobacteriaceae.
AGAGUUUGAUCAUGGCUCAGAUUGAACGCUGGCGGCAGGCCUAACACAUGCAAGUCGAACGGUAACAGGAAGCAGCUUGGCUGCUUUGCUGACGAGUGGCGGACGGGUGAGUAAUGUCUGGGAAACUGCCUGAUGGAGGGGGAUAACUACUGGAAACGGUGGCUAAUACCGCAUAACGUCGCAAGACCAAAGAGGGGGACCUUCGGGCCUCUUGCCAUCAGAUGUGCCCAGAUGGGAUUAGCUUGUUGGUGAGGUAACGGCUCACCAAGGCGACGAUCCCUAGCUGGUCUGAGAGGAUGACCAGCCACACUGGAACUGAGACACGGUCCAGACUCCUACGGGAGGCAGCAGUGGGGAAUAUUGCACAAUGGGCGCAAGCCUGAUGCAGCCAUGCCGCGUGUAUGAAGAAGGCCUUCGGGUUGUAAAGUACUUUCAGCGGGGAGGAAGGUGUUGUGGUUAAUAACCGCAGCAAUUGACGUUACCCGCAGAAGAAGCACCGGCUAACUCCGUGCCAGCAGCCGCGGUAAUACGGAGGGUGCAAGCGUUAAUCGGAAUUACUGGGCGUAAAGCGCACGCAGGCGGUCUGUCAAGUCGGAUGUGAAAUCCCCGGGCUCAACCUGGGAACUGCAUUCGAAACUGGCAGGCUUGAGUCUUGUAGAGGGGGGUAGAAUUCCAGGUGUAGCGGUGAAAUGCGUAGAGAUCUGGAGGAAUACCGGUGGCGAAGGCGGCCCCCUGGACAAAGACUGACGCUCAGGUGCGAAAGCGUGGGGAGCAAACAGGAUUAGAUACCCUGGUAGUCCACGCCGUAAACGAUGUCUACUUGGAGGUUGUGCCCUUGAGGCGUGGCUUCCGGAGCUAACGCGUUAAGUAGACCGCCUGGGGAGUACGGCCGCAAGGUUAAAACUCAAAUGAAUUGACGGGGGCCCGCACAAGCGGUGGAGCAUGUGGUUUAAUUCGAUGCAACGCGAAGAACCUUACCUGGUCUUGACAUCCACAGAACUUUCCAGAGAUGGAUUGGUGCCUUCGGGAACUGUGAGACAGGUGCUGCAUGGCUGUCGUCAGCUCGUGUUGUGAAAUGUUGGGUUAAGUCCCGCAACGAGCGCAACCCUUAUCCUUUGUUGCCAGCGGUCCGGCCGGGAACUCAAAGGAGACUGCCAGUGAUAAACUGGAGGAAGGUGGGGAUGACGUCAAGUCAUCAUGGCCCUUACGACCAGGGCUACACACGUGCUACAAUGGCGCAUACAAAGAGAAGCGACCUCGCGAGAGUAAGCGGACCUCAUAAAGUGCGUCGUAGUCCGGAUUGGAGUCUGCAACUCGACUCCAUGAAGUCGGAAUCGCUAGUAAUCGUGGAUCAGAAUGCCACGGUGAAUACGUUCCCGGGCCUUGUACACACCGCCCGUCACACCAUGGGAGUGGGUUGCAAAAGAAGUAGGUAGCUUAACCUUCGGGGGGGCGCUUACCACUUUGUGAUUCAUGACUGGGGUGAAGUCGUAACAAGGUAACCGUAGGGGAACCUGCGGUUG